CACAACAUGAGGGACUGUAUUAAAGGGUAGCAUCAUUGGGAAGGUUGAGGACCACUGUCUUAAUAAGUGGUAGGACCACAAAACAGUCCAGGAGUUUCUCAGAAAAUGUGGGAGGGGGACCCCACAACUCAGUAGUUCCAGGUUUAGGGAUCUACCCAAGAGAAAUAAGAACACAUCCACACAGAACGUGUAUACAAAUGUUUGUAACAGUGUUACUCGUUGCCUCAACACAACCCAAGCAUCUAGCAAGAAAAUAUUAAAGUGAAAGUAUCCUACCACCCUAUGCUUGUGUAUUAGUCAGCUCUGAAACAAAAUAAAGGAUUAAUGUAUGCUACACGAAACGUUAGCCUAAGUGGAAGAGGCUGCUCACAGAAGACCACACACACACACACACACACACACAGUCCCAUUUAUAAAAGAAUAGGCAGAGACCAACAGACAAAGAAACUGGAUUAGUGGGUUGCUUAGGAAAGGGGCCGAUAGAAGGAAAUGGGAAAAGACCACUGGUGGGAAUGAUGUUCGCUGAAGCAGUGAAAGGCAGUUUUUAGGAUGGGUGCACCAUUCUGUAAAUGUACUGAACACCAGUGAGUUGUACACUUUCAGUGGAUGCGUAGGGUGGUAUAUGAACUAUAUCUCAAUAUAGAUGCUAAAUAAUACUUACUCUAUCCAAUCCAUACCAGGUCCUAGGAUAAGCACUGGCUACACAGAAGGGAUGCAGGCUCUGAACCCAUGAGCUAGAUCUACAGCAUAAUUGGUAGAUUUUUGCCAUCCCAGAGUCCCAUGACCCUCUGGAAGAAUGAAAUAACCUCCUUGUGCUGUAGUGCAAAGGUUUCUAGGGCCAACGAAAGUCAAGACUUUUCCAACAAAUCAUAUCCGGAGGUAUUGAGUUUCUGUCAUUUCUCUGUCUUUGCUCUUCUACUGCACCGACACAAAUGGCUGAAAGCCUCUCUGCAGACUUAGUGCUAUCUUUGAACCAGAGUAGUGAUUCCCAUGACAGCAGCCUCGUGCAAGCCCAUAGCAUGUGUGUGGGCAGCAAGUGUAGAAUCCUUGCCACGAAGCUCCAAAUCCUAGCCUCCCCUCUCACUAGCUCCUUGAACUUACUCAAAACACUCAUCUUCUUUGUGCCUUAGUUUCCUUGCAUGAGACAUGAGGAUAAGAGUGUCUAUGCCCUAAAGAUUUUGUAAAACGUGAAUUAAUAUAUGUACAAUCAUGGUGUGGGGUAGUUGUCUGCAAAGAUCUCAGGCGCCUUCUCCAUAAGCCACUAGGUGGUGCAGGUGUACCACUUCGGGCAACAAAGAUGGCCCCCGGAGGUCCAGCACUGUAAACUGUGUGCUUUGGUAAAUGAUGUGGGUGAUUCUCCAGUGCUGUAGCUGUGGGUCAUCUGUAAGUUAUAUAUGGCAGCAUCACCUAUAACACAGCAAUUAUGCCAUUAGCUGGGGGAAAAGUUGUGUUUAAUGCAGAGAAAACCAGUCUACAGAUCACAGGCUUACAGCCUGGGCAGAGCUCAGCACCCUGACUGCUUUGUAUUAUCACCCAAGCAUGGUGCUGCCACCCACAUCCGAGGUCUCCCACAGUUACCUUUCAUUUUAUAAAUAGUUAUGACACCCCCUGAUCAUCCUCAAAUAAAAUUUAUAGAUGAUAUAGCCUUCCAACAUACCUAACUUCCUCUUCCAUAUCAACUAAAAUAUCUUACUAAGGGCAUGAGAAAAAGCCACACACAGUGAAAGCUUAUGUAAGUGCCUGGGCAUAAGAACACAAGAUAUCAUAAUAGAGUGGGUAAAUACUUUCAUCUGUGUGUGGGAUGACCAGGGAGACCACAGUAACAAUGACUGGUAGAGAUGUGAUCUAAACCCCUUGAGUAGCAUUGCCAUAAGCAAUAUGAUUUUUCAAAGUGGCCACAGUGUUUGGUCAAAUAAAAAUAAAUGUGUAUUCUAAGACAAGGUAAGGUUGACCUUUGCCUACCAAUGAUUUUUUUCUUUUUUAUCUCCAUGAUGUUUAGUGUAGUAUUUAGAAAGAUACAGGAAAAUAGCUCUGUUGUGCAUGACUGUCCUACAUACCAUGGACUGUAGGAACCUGGCACUUACUGUCCCUGGCUACUAAAUAGACAUGGUGACCCCUACUCUCAAUACUGUGGCAGCCAAAAUCACUUCCCCACAAAUUUCCAAUUGAACAAUGGGCUCUCGGUUGGGCACUAGCACUUCAGGCUCCAAAUUGCUCGGGCGUUCCUAGCAAGGUUGGCAUUUGCUCUACUCGGAGCAGAACUUGUAAAUGGCAUUUAGUUUCUUUCUAGCCUUCACAAACACACUUGUUUGGGGCUAGAGUUGGCACUCAAAGAGGGUUCCAGAAGAAGGAGGACCUCUUUCUCUGAAUGUAUUCCCUCGUGUUUGCCCUUUGUCCAGGAAGGGAGACCCAAAGGAGGCUGGCCUUUCUUGUCAAUCUUACCCACAGUCUGGUGGCCUCCUGGAGGCUUUUUAGCAAAACCCAGCUGAGAAGUAAAUCAGCACAGACAUAAUCCUGAUUUUAGCAACUAGAGCCAGGGCCCUGGCCUGGGAGAAUUACCUGCGUUCUACCUGCGCGGUAUGUCAAUCACAAGCCAUUCUUGCCGUGUCUUUUCAGGAGUGAACCUAGUGAGCCCAGAGCUCCUCCGGACAAGGCUCUGACAUGCUGGCUGGCAGGCAUGGGCUUGUUCAUAGAGCUCAGUUCACUGUAUUCAACUCCACCUGCAUCGAGGCAUUUUCCGGUAUGACAUGGCCUGAUCCCCUCGCUGGUAUUCCUGGAAUUUAACUGUGCUAGAAGACGAAGACUGGAGUGUCUCCCAUCCUCCUCACCACGCAUUCCAUCACGUUGGCCAGUUGACAUCCCUGGGCCAUCUGGUCACCCAGAGCAAGGAGUCAGAUGUGUUCAAGAAUUCUCUCCUAGACCCUCUGAUCUAUAAAAGGGCAGCCAAGGGACCAGAGUCCAUCAACAAGUGAAGGGAUUGGAAAACUGUGACCGUGACUCUCCAGACUCCCCAUCGCUGCCAUUCAAGCCUCAGCUUCAGAUGUUUCCCGCCCUGGCAUCCACCCACAUGCACUAGCCGUUUGGAAGCCUGCGUGGUUUAUUUAGUGUGCAGACAUUUAUGGACUCCUUUGGCAUGUCAGCCUUCAAGGACACGGAACUGGGCAGACACAGCUGUGGACUCAUCAGGCUCUAAGCUUAGUGGGGAAGACAAAUAUUUAAUAAACAACAGCAUAUGUGUCUGUGUGACCGCUAUGCAGAUAAGCAAUACAAGUUAAGAGAUGAGGCUGGAGAGAUAGCUCAACAGUAGAAGGCACUUGAUACUCAUGUACAGGACUGGGAUUCUGUUCCCAGCACCCACAUGGUGACUCACAACCUCCUAUACCUCCAGUUUCAGGGGACUGAAUGGCCUCUUCUGGCCUCUGUGACCACCAGGCACACAAAUGGUAUGCAUACAUACACAGGGGGCACUCAUACAUACAUAGAAGAUAAAAGUAAAUAUAAACCUUAAAAAAAAGAUGUACAGAGACUCUAGGGGCUGAGACUCUGGGCACAACUGGAGAAUAGAUACUUAUGUUGAAACUUGAGGUUGGGGAAGGUAUUAGUCAGGUAGGAGAGUAGAGGUUUUCCUUGGCAGGGACAGGGCAGGUAAAGGCUAUGACCCUGGGGCAGCCUGGGGUGGUCAAGAAGCCAGUGUAGCAGUUAGCACAUAUUGAUCACUGGCUAUGUGUCCAGCCUGUUCUAAGAGCUAGAGUAGUACAGUGCUUCUAAUGUCUCAUUUCAGAAAUGAGAAAACUGAGUCAAAAGGGGAUCAAGUCACCCUGAAGUCACAAUGCUACAAAGCAUCAGAGUCACCAUUUGGAUACAGGGCAUCUGACUUCAGGCCUAGAUGCUCAGCCCUCUGGCAGAGCUCCUCCACAAAGAUAGGAAGUCACCAGUGUCAAUGGUAACACCAUGUUAGGUGAAUGUAAAAAGACAAAGUCACUCUCCCGCCAUACCUGUAGAGCCUGGAAGGACAGCAGUGGGCUCAAAAAGGUGUUUUCUUUGUCAGCUGUGAUGGAUGCGGUUGUUGUGCCCGUGAUGGGACCAGGGCUUGAUGCAUACUGGGUAAAUAGCCUUCCACUGAGCUACGUCCUGAGCCAGAGAACAGUCUCUUUAAGAAAGAGAAAGAGGCUAACUUCUCAGAGUCAUGAGAGAGGAAGCACGAGGGCAAGAAUGGUGUCAGCAUUGUCUCAUUGUCUUAAACCGUGCUGACAGUUGUCAGCGGCGGGCAGCUCCUCAUUGGUACUUCCUGUAGGCUGGGCCGUCUUUGGAGUGCACUGUGUUCUUUGAGUCAUGUCAAUAUAACAACUUCAUAAGGUCAGGGCUGCCCCUCUCUCCACUUCAGACAUAGAGGUUCCACGACUUGCUGAUGUUGCAUUAAGGAGGUGGCAAGGCUGGGUUUCUUAACAGAGCUUGUCUAGGCUCUGCUUUUGUGGAGGCUGCUGAAACACAGCCCCAUGGCUCUCACCUGAUAGGGAAGCGCUGCCCCCCCCCCCAGGCUUAGGGGUGUGGUUAUGGCCACCCUAUCACACUGCCUCUCAAGUGCUUUCAAAGCUGCACGUAGGAGGGGAAAUGGCGAUGGAGGAACUGACCUGGGCUCACUCUGCAUUUGGGGAUGAAGAGCACUACUGCUGUGCUCAGCCCCAGGUGGGAAUUAUUCCCAGCCCCCCUUUGAGAGGACUCUACAUAGAGUUCAGCCGCUCUGACUGUCACAUCCACACAUUCAAGGUGGAAGCGACUCGCCCACCAUUGACCCUGGUGACAUGUUCCCAAACAUAGUGGAAAGAACUUUCCAGAAGGCUAGUGGCCCUCCUCAGAUUUCAUCAGAGGUCACCCUCUGAGACUUGGCUGUCCAUCAAACCAUCAAAGAUGUGGGACACAGCUUCGGCUCAGAACCAGAAUCUUGUGUGUUCUUUUGUUUUCUGGUUAGCCCAGCGGGCUGAAAGUCAGACCUGUUAGUACAGCAAAGUUGAAUCUUCCACUCUUAAGAGCACAGUGUGCAUGGACAAGCCUGGAGGUAGGUGGAAGGGAAGAGAUGGCCUGGGAAGGCCUGGAGGUUGGGUUAAGGGAAGAGAUGGUGGCCUGGAGCUGUGACAGCUGAGGUCAGUCAGACACUCCUCUUUCUACAACACUAGCACCCUCUAGUGGGGGCUGUCUCUAUUUACACUGCAGGUUUCUGUGCCUUACUUAGGUGAUAUUUUCACUCAGCUCCAAUUGAAAUGUUUUGUUUGGUUUUUUUCAAGGCAGGGUUUUUCUGUGUAGAUCUGGCUGUCCGGGACAUUGCUCUGUAGAUCAGGCUAGUCUUGAACUCAGAGAUGUGCCUGCCUCUGCCUCCCGAGUGCACAACUAGAUCUGGCCUCUCCAACUGAAAUUUAACACGUCCUUGAAUGAUUAUUAUGGUAAUUAUUAUUCAUUAGACAAAAACACUACUUGUGAUUUUUUUGCCCCCCCCCCCAGUAAGUCAGCAUAUUUUAAAGAAAUAUCGUAUAACAUUGGUUGGAAACAACAGGAAGUGUCAUGUAUAUCUGUUACUACUGGCUACCAGAGAUGUCAUUCCAGCAUGUAAUUAAAUACGUUAAUAAAGAAGUGUACUGUGUGUGAUGGCUGUAA
This is a long non-coding RNA of Mus musculus (house mouse), 5649 nucleotides long. RefSeq annotates it as predicted gene, 31954. The record is from RefSeq and is a predicted model, not a curated record. Lineage: Eukaryota; Metazoa; Chordata; Mammalia; Rodentia; Muridae. The transcript has 2 exons.